RNAcentral lists this ribosomal RNA (275 nucleotides) under uncultured bacterium. Its description in RNAcentral is "partial 16S ribosomal RNA". It matches the Rfam family "Bacterial small subunit ribosomal RNA", at positions 524 to 776 of the family's 1533-position model. The record is from RNAcentral.
UACAGAGGUCUCAAGCGUUGUUCGGAUUCAUUGGGCGUAAAGGGCGCGUAGGCGGCCUGUUAAGUCGAACGUGAAAUCCCCGGGCUCAACCCGGGAACUGCGUCCGAUACUGGCAGGCUUGAAUCCGGGAGAGGGAUGCGGAAUUCCGGGUGUAGCGGUGGAAUGCGUAGAUAUCCGGAAGAACACCGGUGGCGAAGGCGGCCUGCUGGGGUACCAGACGAGACUUCGGUCUGUCGGGCUGACACUGAGGCGCGACAGCGUGGGGAGCAAACAGG